CUAAAAUUUUUCCCACUCUGCUUCUAUUCUAGAUAGAAACUACAAUUUGCCUGAGGCAAUGAGGUGGUGGCAAUCACACAGCAGAGGCUGCGUGAAUGGGCCCGUCCAAGCCAGCCCUACCGCCUGACAAGGAAGGUCUCACAGACAUUGCUUGGGAGGGAGAUUUUUUUUCUCUCUUCCCAUCUAGGUAGAGAAGACUUCAUUCGCAUGACGCCCCCUCCACCCCCGCCGCCAUCUUCCAGCGACAAGACAUCCCUUUCUUCCCCUUCGCUUCUUGUCUCCGAAGCCGCUUGCUCUGCAGUGUCCUGGAACACACCAAGGGUUUGCUUGUCAGUUCCUUGCAGCUGCCAGCGCCCCUUUCCUCCUGUGUGAUAAACACGUCCAAAUCACUCAUAUUCUCCAAGGAAGUCUUCCCUCAGGCCUGCCUCCCUGGAGCUAUGGGCGCGCGCCUGCCUGCUUGCUUUCCUCGGUCCGCACGUUGACACCAUCUACCCGGCUUGUCAUGACCCGGAGUCUCCACUGCCAUCACAGCCAACUCGGGGUUCUGCUCUACUCACUCCAGGGCAGUCAUCUCUGCUGUCUAAUACUCAGGCCCAGGGGCCCUCGCUGUCCCUUCCCUGUCCACCACUGGGCAAGAGAGGAUGAGGAUGGUCAAGGUCUUCUGACAUAACAUGACAGCUGGGGUUGAAGUCUCCCUCCAAAGGGUUGCAAGAAAUCACCAGCUCAAGGUCAGUCACUGUGGAGCAGAGUCAUUUAUUGUAUCUUCGCUUUGGGACCAUUCACUGAGGAGGCUCAGGUACUUAACACAAUCAAAGUGAACUGACUUUCAGCUGGCUAUCACGUUGCAGCAGCUAGAUACCUCUCUCCACUGUAAAUAACAAAAAAAAAAU
Molecule: long non-coding RNA, 890 nt
Filed under: Chinchilla lanigera (long-tailed chinchilla)
Lineage: Eukaryota; Metazoa; Chordata; Mammalia; Rodentia; Chinchillidae
Description: lncRNA (ENSCLAG00000024973.1)
Source: RNAcentral